UCCAGACUCCGAAGGGCGCGCGUUGCUGGAGUACAUCACGUGAAAUGCUGGGCUGGAUGAAGCAGAAGCUGGAAUCAAGAUUGCCGGGAGAAAUAUCAACAACCUCAGAUACACAGAUGACACCACCCUUAUGGCAGAAAGUGAACAGGAACAAAAGAGCCUCUUGAAGUAGGUGAAAGAGGAGAGUGAAAAACCUGGCUUAAAACUCAACAUUCAAAAAUGAAGAUCAUGGCAUCCGGUCCCAUCACUUCAUGGCAAAUAGACGGCGAAACAAUGGAAACAAUGUCAGAUUUAAUUUUCUUGGGCUCCAAAGUCACUGUGGAUGGUGACUGAAGCCAUGAAAUUAAAAGACACUUGCUCCUUGGAAGAAAAGCUAUGACAAACCAAGACAGUGUAUUAAAAAGCAGUCAUUACUUUGCCAACAAAGGUUCAUAUAGUCAAAGCUAUGGUUUUUCCAGUAGUCAUGUAUGGAUGUGAGAGUUGAACCAUAGAAAAGGUUGAAUGCCAAAGAACUGAUGCCUUUGAACUGUGGUGUUGGAGAAGGCUCAUGAGAAUCCCUUGGACGGCAAGGAGAUCAAACCAGUCAAUCCUAAAGGAACUCAACCCUGAAUAUUGCAUUGGAAGGACUGAUGCUGAAGCUGAAGCUCCAAUAAUUUAGUCACCUGAUGUGAAGAGUUGGCUCUUUGGAACAGACCUUGAUGCUGGGAAAGAUUGAGGGCAGGAGAAGGGGCGGCAGAAGAUGAGAUGGUUGGAUAGCAUCACUGACUCAAAGGACAUGAAUUUGAGCAAACUCCUGGAGACAGCAGAGGACAGAGGAGCCUGGUGUGCUGUGGUCCAUGGGGUUACAAAGAGUUGGACAUGACUUAGUGACUGAACAAUGAGUGUGGACUUCCUGGUGGCUCAGCAGUAAAAAAUCCAUCAGCAAUGCAGGAGAUGAAGGUUUGAUCCCUGAGUUGGGAAGAUCCCCUGGAGGAGAAAAUGGCAACCCACUUCAGUAUUCUUGCCUGAAGAAUCCCAUGGACAAAGGAGCCUGGGGGGGCGACAGUCUAUGGAGUCGCAAGAGUCAGACAUAGCAUAUGCGCGCGCGCGUGCACACACACACACACACACAGUGUGUGUAUGUUAAUUCCACAUUCCUCAUUUUAUCCCUCCCCCCCCUUUCCCUUUUGGUAACCAUCUUUGUUUUCUAUGUCUAUGAGUCGGUCUCUGUUUAGUAAAUCAGGUUAUUAGUAUCACUCUUUUAGAUUCCACAUAUGAUAUUUGCUAAAUGCUUUUCAUAUGUAUCAGCUCAGGUAUCCUAAAACCAAAACCAAAAUUCCCCUUCCCAAAGAAAAACUCACAAGGAGGGAGCAGCAAUGGCACCACUGAGAUGGGGAGAAUGAAGCAGAGAAAGGUUACAUAACUGGCUUGAGCACAGCGAGUGGCC
Molecule: long non-coding RNA, 1426 nt
Organism: Bos taurus (domestic cattle)
Lineage: Eukaryota; Metazoa; Chordata; Mammalia; Artiodactyla; Bovidae
Source: Ensembl